GACGAACGCUGGCGGCGUGCCUAACACAUGCAAGUCGAGCGAAUGAAGUUCCUUCGGGAACGGAUUUAGCGGCGGACGGGUGAGUAACACGUGGGCAACCUGCCUCAUAGAGGGGAAUAGCCUUCCGAAAGGGAGAUUAAUACCGCAUAAGAUUGUAGUACCGCAUGGUACAGCAAUUAAAGGAGCAAUCCGCUAUGAGAUGGGCCCGCGGCGCAUUAGCUAGUUGGUGAGGUAACGGCUCACCAAGGCGACGAUGCGUAGCCGACCUGAGAGGGUGAUCGGCCACAUUGGGACUGAGACACGGCCCAAACUCCUACGGGAGGCUGCAGUGGGGAAUCUUCCGCAAUGGACGAAAGUCUGACGGAGCAACGCCGCGUGAGUGAUGACGGCCUUCGGGUUGUAAAGCUCUGUCUUCAGGGACGAUAAUGACGGUACCUGAGGAGGAAGCCACGGCUAACUACGUGCCAGCAGCCGCGGUAAUACGUAGGUGGCAAGCGUUAUCCGGAUUUAUUGGGCGUAAAGCGAGCGCAGGCGGUUUUUUAAGUCUGAUGUGAAAGCCCUCGGCUUAACCGAGGAAGUGCAUCGGAAACUGGGAAACUUGAGUGCAGAAGAGGGAUCGUGGAACUCCAUGUGUAGCGGUGAAAUGCGUAGAUAUAUGGAAGAACACCAGUGGCGAAGGCGGCUGUCUGGUCUGUAACUGACGCUGAGGCGCGAAAGCCAGGGGAGCGAACGGGAUUAGAUACCCCGGUAGUCCUGGCCGUAAACGAUGAAUGCUAGGUGUUGGAGGGUUUCCGCCCUUCAGUGCCGCAGCUAACGCAUUAAGCAUUCCGCCUGGGGAGUACGACCGCAAGGUUGAAACUCAAAGGAAUUGACGGGGGCCCGCACAAGCGGUGGAGCAUGUGGUUUAAUUCGAAGCUACGCGAAGAACCUUACCAGGUCUUGACAUCUUGCGCUAACCUUAGAGAUAAGGCGUUCCCUUCGGGGACGCAAUGACAGGUGGUGCAUGGUCGUCGUCAGCUCGUGUUGUGAGAUGUUGGGUUAAGUCCCGCAACGAGCGCAACCCUUGUUACUAGUUGCCAGCAUUAAGUUGGGCACUCUAGUGAGACUGCCGGUGACAAACCGGAGGAAGGUGGGGACGACGUCAGAUCAUCAUGCCCCUUAUGACCUGGGCUACACACGUGCUACAAUGGACGGUACAAAGAGACGCAAGACCGCGAGGUGGAGCAAAACUCAAAAACUUGUCUCAGUUCGGAUUGUAGGCUGAAACUCGCCUACAUGAAGCUGGAGUUGCUAGUAAUCGCGAAUCAGCAUGUCGCGGUGAAUACGUUCCCGGGCCUUGUACACACCGCCCGUCACACCAUGAGAGUUGGCAAUACCCAACGUACGUGAUCUAACCCGCAAGGGAGGAAGCGUCCUAAGGUAGGGUCAGCGAUUGGGGUG
RNAcentral lists this ribosomal RNA (1440 nucleotides) under human gut metagenome. RNAcentral's name for it is "bacterial SSU rRNA". It matches the Rfam family "Bacterial small subunit ribosomal RNA". The record is from RNAcentral.